RNAcentral lists this unclassified non-coding RNA (690 nucleotides) under Hevea brasiliensis (rubber tree). Lineage: Eukaryota; Viridiplantae; Streptophyta; Magnoliopsida; Malpighiales; Euphorbiaceae. The record is from RNAcentral.
GAGAACCAAAUGGCCAUUUGAGCAAAUUAUGACCAUUUGCAAUGAAUACUAAGUGGACAUGAUCAUGUCCCUCACACAACCUCCACAGUUGUACCAAACCUAUGAUUAAUGGCCAUAGAUGGAAGAAAAUUUACAAAUGUAGGAAGGAUGAAAAACAAACGAACAACCAUAAUGCACGAUAAGCAACAACAAUAAUAUUAUAUCCACCGCGGGGAUUUGGUGUAUGCAGACCUUAUCCCUACCUAGUGAAAGUAAGACUGUUUUCGAAUGAGGGAUGCAACAGGACAUCCGAGGAUCAGCCAUCCUAGUAUACUCUCGCCCAAACACGCUUAACUUUGGAGGUCUGAUGGAUAUACAAGAUAAACAUCUCUUGAACUUGUACAUUAAAAAGGAAGACAAACAAUUUAUUCCUUGGCUCCAAAAAGUAUCUCCAGCAAUGAAGAGUAGGUUCCAUAGACUGAAAAAACAGCAGCCACUACAAUAAUUGCACCAUCACAAGCCAAACCAUGCCAUCUUAGCUCAUCUUUGAACACAAUCAGAUGAAACAAGGCAGGCAACACAAAGCCAAGAAUUAUGCACACACUACUCCCAACCAAUGACAAGAAAUCAGCAAAAUUUGGCACAAACAAUGCCACAAACGUCACUACCAAAACCAUAAUCCAUCUUAUCCAAACACAGUAACUCCCUUCA